GCAAGGUGGAUAGCUACGUCCUAGAACUGGUUCCUAUGUUUUUCUAGGGCAUGUGGACUAGGGAUGGGUUCUUGAGCAGAAGCCAGAAAGUUAAGAGUUUGUGCAGGAGUCACCUGAAGGGUCAGAAGUUAGGGUCCGGAAUGCUUAACAAGAUAUUCAGAUGGGAUGUGCACACCCCAACUCCAGGACUGAGGGGUGGAGAGACUAAUCCACAAAAUUUCCUUAAACUGCAGAAGCUCCAGGGCCUCCUGAAUCCCUGAUGGAACCAGGACUUCUUAGUCGUAAAAUUUAUUUUUCUUACCAUAAAAUGACAACUCCUUUAAUGUAGUGCAAUAUUUUGGUAAAUGGUGUUGAGUAAGAGAGAGGAUGACAGAAACCUAUAUUUAACCUAACAAGCAUUUUUACCACUACCAAGAGUAUUGAAAGUUUUGAAAAGACAAAAUUACUGUCUUUGAUUCAAUUUGCUGCAAAUUUGGAUCCCCCCCCCCAAUUGUAGUUAAAAGGUCUAGUUUGAUUCAGCAGUCUUGAAUUUUACUGUCUAAUUUGCCUCUUGCGCCCAAAUGAUGUUAUAUUUGGAUUUCUGAUGCUGCAAACAAAUCUAAUCAAAACAUGAGCUUAAGAAAUGAGGAUGUUGCUUGAAGCAAUGCCUGUGUAAACACUGAAGCUAAAAAUAGGUCAUCACGAACUAGAUUGAUAAGGGUCCGAGGAAAAAGGCACUGCCACCUGGGUGUGUCUAGGACUGACACCACAGCCCUGAUGCUUGGAGUUGACUCCGGGAAGCUGGUGAAGACUGGUGACAGUUUCUCCUCUACAGCAGUUAGACACCUCAUCUGUAAAGGGAAACAAGUGGCUGGCUGUGCAGGAGCAACACGAGAGAAUGGAAAGGCUGAGGCUGAGUACAGAGUCAGGGGUCCCCUGAAGGGUUGUAAGAGCGUUUGCAGCCAGAGAAAUAGCAGCUCUGAAAAUGUUGGCAAUGCGUGCUUACCUUUUACCCAAGGAAACUAUCAAAGCCAAACCCACUGAACCUUAAAGGUAUUUCAGAAUCACUAUUGGGAUGUCAGAUAUAAAUGCUCCCGAUGUUACAUAUGAUUGAUUCCAAGGUCGUAAAGGAAUGCACUGAAAGAGGAAUCAGAAUACAUUUAAGAAUUUCGUUGAAGUAAAGCUUAAGCGCAGUUUAAUGUCCUCUGCACUGUUCGUGGGUAAAGGAGCUGUUAGACCACUCACUUCCUCCACCGGGACUGGUAUUCUGCAAUGAGGGCGGCUAUAUGGAUGUAGCACAUAGCAGCCUGCAAUAAAACACAAACAGUGUCAGAGGAGGAUGCGGCACCCAUUUUACUAUUUGUCUAAUUAGGACUAAUGUCAUGUCAGAAUAUGUGGAGGAAUCUUUUAAGUAAGAGAAUUAAAGGUAAUCAAUUACAUUUCCAAAAAAAUUCACAAUCAAAAAUAAAAUGCAUACUUGGGAUUGUCUUUCUUGAUGUAAUUCUCAGGAAGAGCUGGCCUGAAGAAUUUUCCCAAAGAUUUAUCUCCCUUAAUAUCUAAGUUUCUCUCUCUCUUAAUAUUUACAGGGGUGGGCAAAACUAGUUUGAGGUUGUUCAUAAGGAAAAAGACA
Molecule: long non-coding RNA, 1609 nt
Organism: Myotis myotis
Lineage: Eukaryota; Metazoa; Chordata; Mammalia; Chiroptera; Vespertilionidae
Exons: 8
Source: RefSeq, a predicted model, not a curated record